RNAcentral lists this ribosomal RNA (427 nucleotides) under uncultured bacterium. RNAcentral describes it as "bacterial SSU rRNA". It matches the Rfam family "Bacterial small subunit ribosomal RNA", at positions 373 to 793 of the family's 1533-position model. The record is from RNAcentral.
GGGCGCAAGCCUGAUGCAGCCAUGCCGCGUGUAUGAAGAAGGCCUUCGGGUUGUAAAGUACUUUCAGCAGUGAGGAAGGUGGGUAUGUUAAUAGCAUAUUCAUUUGACGUUAGCUGCAGAAGAAGCACCGGCUAACUCCGUGCCAGCAGCCGCGGUAAUACGGAGGGUGCGAGCGUUAAUCGGAAUUACUGGGCGUAAAGCGCAUGCAGGUGGUUUGUUAAGUCAGAUGUGAAAGCCCGGGGCUCAACCUCGGAAUUGCAUUUGAAACUGGCAAACUAGAGUACUGUAGAGGGGGUAGAAUUUCAGGUGUAGCGGUGAAAUGCGUAGAGAUCUGAAGGAAUACCGGUGGCGAAGGCGGCCCCCUGGACAGAUACUGACACUCAGAUGCGAAAGCGUGGGGAGCAAACAGGAUUAGAUACCCUGGUAG